GCGGCCUAUCAGCUUGUUGGUGGGGUAACGGCCCACCAAGGCGACGACGGGUAGCCGGCCUGAGAGGGCGACCGGCCACACUGGGACUGAGACACGGCCCAGACUCCUACGGGAGGCAGCAGUGGGGAAUAUUGCGCAAUGGGCGAAAGCCUGACGCAGCGACGCCGCGUGAGGGAUGAAGGCCUUCGGGUUGUAAACCUCUUUCAGCAGGGAAGAAGCGAAAGUGACGGUACCUGCAGAAGAAGCACCGGCUAACUACGUGCCAGCAGCCGCGGUAAUACGUAGGGUGCAAGCGUUGUCCGGAUUUAUUGGGCGUAAAGAGCUCGUAGGCGGUCUGUCACGUCGGAUGUGAAAACCCAGGGCUCAACCCUGGGCCUGCAUUCGAUACGGGCAGACUUGAGUGUGGUAGGGGAGACUGGAAUUCCU
Molecule: ribosomal RNA, 426 nt
Filed under: uncultured Actinomycetes bacterium
Lineage: Bacteria; Bacillati; Actinomycetota; Actinomycetes
Description: bacterial SSU rRNA
Rfam family: Bacterial small subunit ribosomal RNA
Source: RNAcentral